RNAcentral lists this ribosomal RNA (460 nucleotides) under uncultured bacterium. Its description in RNAcentral is "partial 16S ribosomal RNA". It matches the Rfam family "Bacterial small subunit ribosomal RNA", at positions 338 to 795 of the family's 1533-position model. The record is from RNAcentral.
CCUACGGGGGGCUGCAGUGAGGAAUAUUGGUCAAUGGGCGUAAGCCUGAACCAGCCAAGUCGCGUGAGGGAUGAAGGUUCUAUGGAUCGUAAACCUCUUUUAUAAGGGAGUAAAGUGUGGGACGUGUCCUAUUUUGUAUGUACCUUAUGAAUAAGGAUCGGCUAACUCCGUGCCAGCAGCCGCGGUAAUACGGAGGAGCCGAGCGUUAUCCGGAUUUAUUGGGUUUAAAGGGUGCGUAGGCGGACUUGUAAGUCAGCGGUGAAAGCCUGGGGCUCAACCCUAGAAUUGCCGUUGAAACUGGUGGGCUUGAGUAUGUGUGAGGCAGGCGGAAUGUGUGGUGUAGCGGUGAAAUGCGUAGAUAUCACGCAGAACCCCGAUUGCGAAGGCAGACUGCCAAGCCAUAACUGACGCUGAUGCACGAAAGCGUGGGGAUCAAACAGGAUUAGAUACCCGAGUAGUC